This 433-nucleotide unclassified non-coding RNA is filed under the name soil metagenome. Its description in RNAcentral is "partial contains 5.8S ribosomal RNA, internal transcribed spacer 2, and large subunit ribosomal RNA". The stretch from base 1 to 120 matches the Rfam family "5.8S ribosomal RNA", at positions 35 to 154 of the family's 154-position model. The record is from RNAcentral.
GAUGAAGAACGUAGCGAAAUGCGAUACGUAAUGUGAAUUGCAGAAUUCAGUGAAUCAUCGAAUCUUUGAACGCAUAUUGCGCUCUCUGGUAUUCCGGAGAGCAUGCUUGUUUGAGUAUCAGUAAACACCUCAACUUCCAUAUCUUUUUUUGAAAUGGGAGUUGGACUUGAGUGAUCCCAACGCUUUUCCUCACCGAAAAGUGGCGGGUUACUUGAAAUGCAGGUGCAGCUGGACUUUUCUCUGAGCUAUAAGCAUAUCUAUUUAGUCUGCCUAAAAAACAGAUUAUUACCUUUGCUGCAGCUAACAUAAAGGAGAUUAGUUCUUGUGCUGACUGAUGCAGGAUUCACAAAGACAGCUUCGGCCGACUUUGUAAACUCGAUCUCAAAUCAAGUAAGACUACCCGCUGAACUUAAGCAUAUCAUUAAGCGGAGGA